GACGAACGCUGGCGGCGUGCUUAACACAUGCAAGUCGAACGGAAAGGCCCUGCUCUUGUUGCUUUCUCGAUUGGCGAACGCGUGAGUAACACGCGAGUAUCCUGCCCUUGACUUUGUGAUAACUUCAGGAGACUGCGGCUAAUACCCGAUAUAAGCUCCUGCUGCGUGGUGUGGGAUGGAAAGUGUCGGCGGUGGGGGAUGGUCUCGCGGCUUAUCAGCUUGAUUGUGGGGUAGGUGCUUACCAAGCCUUUGACGGAUAGCCGGCAUUAGAGGGGGGACGGCGACAUUGGGCCUGCGGUACGGCGCAGAAGCCUACGGUAGGCAGCAGGCGGGAGUAUUACGCAAUGGGCGGACGCGUGUUGCAGCAAUGUCGCGUGCGGGAAGCUGGCUUUCGGGUUGUAAACAGCUUCGGCAGGUGACGAAGAGUGAGUGACGGUAAUGGGUAAAGAAGCACCGGCUAACUACGUG
This 468-nucleotide ribosomal RNA is filed under the name uncultured bacterium. RNAcentral's name for it is "partial 16S ribosomal RNA". It matches the Rfam family "Bacterial small subunit ribosomal RNA", at positions 28 to 507 of the family's 1533-position model. The record is from RNAcentral.